This 41994-nucleotide long non-coding RNA is filed under the name Vitis vinifera (wine grape). RNAcentral's name for it is "long non-coding RNA (VVIN_LNC002781)". Lineage: Eukaryota; Viridiplantae; Streptophyta; Magnoliopsida; Vitales; Vitaceae. The record is from RNAcentral.
UUUCUGGUUUCAGAAUUCACAUCAGAAGGCAACCGCAGCCAAGCUGAGUAGAGCAAGGACUCAUGGACAGUAACAUGAGGAGAGUGGAUGUCAUUCUGCUCACAGUAUCCAGAAAUUCGAGCAAAAGUCUCUUGCUUCUUUGGGUAGCCAGAAAUAGUGAUGUUACCCUCAAUAUAUCCACCGGUUUUCCGACCAGCCAGUACAUCCAUGAGAGUGGUUUUACCAGCACCACUAACACCCAUCAGAGCUGUAAGAACACCAGGCCUGAAAGCACCACUCACCCCUUUCAGAAGCUCCAGUCUGUCUUCAAGGGCACCCUGACUUUUCAUUUCCUGCAAGUUCAUUUCAAACAACUCAGUUCUCAUUUCUGGUUUAUAGUACAUUAUGAAAAAACUUCAGUGCUGCUAAAACAUAUGUCAUCAUUUGAAUAAAUAUGACUUUACCUCUGGCAUGUCAACUGAGUAUCUAAUAUCAUCAAAAGUGAUUGAAUGUGGUUGGAAUGGAAGAACCAUUCCUUUCUUCUUAUUAUGAUUAGCCUCAGCAAUGGCUUCUACCAUUUGCUCUCCCCGCUCUGCAUGUCAAGUUUAAAUUCAGUGAGCCAUAUAAAACAUGUAGUUAAAUGACAAGAAUUGAGUCAUACAAAGGCAUGCAUGCAUGCACCAUGUAUGAGUUUCAUCACCUGUGGUUGCAGUUUUGGCAUUGUCAGACUCUUCUGUUAUAACAGCUUGAGGCUUCUCAAAUACUGAGCAAUUUGCACAAUGUUAGUACACUAAGCUCAUAUUUUUAGGAGUUUCAAUGCAGAGAAGGUACAGAUACCCACGAUUUAGGUAAUUAAGGCAGAGAGUGUAAAAGAUGUUGAAAACAAAUAUGAAUCCAAGCAGUGCCCCAGCUCCUAUCCAGUACCAGUGUGCGUCUGUGAAGAACCCACGAGACUUCAAUACUGUGACUCCAAGGGAUUCUGUUGAAUCGGUGACAUUCUGAAAAAUGGAAAUAAGUACAAUCAUCAGUUACUGACACACAUAAAUAAACACAAAUAUUCACAUGGAACAUUCGAGAACUUACUUUGCUCCAACUCUUCCCAAGGAAUUCAUUUACCACUAUUGCAUUCUGUGCAUACAUCAGAGGGGAAGACCAGUAACCCCAAAUCCACCAUUUCUUGACAUUAUCUGCAGCAUUGACCAAAUAAAAAAGGAAACAAAAAUUCAUUAUCAGGGGUUAUGCACAAGAAGGUUCUACAUUUCCUAAAAAAAUAUUUCCUCAUCAUACCAUAUGACAGGAUAAAACCACCCAAUGCCAAGAGCAUAAGUAAAGCAAAUGCCCCAAAUGUGUUUGCAACAAUCAUGUUUCUACCGGCUGCUGCUAUAAAUCGAAAUAAUCCAGAUGCCAUCUGAUUAACAAGCAAGAGGAGAAGAUACUGUCUAAACAACCUGCAAUAAGGAGAUUUGUUUAUUCAGCAUUGAUCAUUUUGGAACAGAGAAAACAUGUAAAAGAAAUCUGGAUAAGUUUCUGCAACUUCAUAACUUUUUAACUUUACCUUUCCACAUUUGGAUCAAAUCCAAUGACAUAGUAAGUGAUGAACACCCAAACACCAACUUCAACAAAUGUGAUGGGGAUCCUGAGCACCCAUGUGGGAAGAGCAUAUGCCCAUGCAGGAUAGAAGAGAAGGUCUCUUUGCUUGUAAAAGACAGGAAGUUUUGCAAUUGCCAUGGCAAGUUCUGCCAUUCCAUUAAACAUGAUCAUGACAACAGUGAAGAACAAAGCACCCGUGUAAAUGUUUCCAUCAUCUGUUGAAUUUUUGUGCAUCUCAGUUCUUAGGAAGAGUGUCAUUGCAAUCACUGCCAUUACUGCAAGCUAAAAAUAGAAAUAAAAAUAAUAAAUUACAAUCACAUAUACAAAAUUAAAAGCCAUAGUUAUAAGUAGCAAUAAUAAUAAUAAUACUCACUUGGGUGAGUUUGAAAAUAUAAACAAAUGAGUUCCUCUUCAUCAGCAAGUACUCUCUUGACAUGUUGGCAUCCAACAGUUCCUUCUUUCUAACACCAUACUUUUUGGUCGUCAAAGCAGCUGGGUGGCUUUUGGCCCUAUCAAAUGGCGAUGCAAGCUCAUCUGCUACUUUCCGUCCAAUGUGAAAUGACUGGAAUGCCUCAGCAAAUUCUUUGACUGUGACAAAACUGUAAGGCACAUCUUUACGUGCCCAAUACUGGGCCUGAUCUUUUCUAGAUGUUACCUGCAAUGAAUUUUAAAGUUCAUGUUAUAGCUCUGUUUUUUUCUAAAAAUAAAAAAAGGGAAAAAGAUAGAAGAUACCAAAAGCUACAAAGCUAAAUUUGCACUCACUUCUUGCAGGAAGUCUGCCACACCCUUCCUUGCAGGACAUUUGAAGCCCAUGGAUUCAAAAAAUUCAACCACAUCUUCACGAGGACCCUGAUAAACAAUCUGACUAUCAGAUAGGAGAAUGAUGUCAUCAAAAAGAUUGUAAGUCUCAGGUGCUGGCUGGAGGAGAGAGAUGACAGCAGUCCCAUUGAGAAUAUGGAUGGUUUGCUUGAGAGAAUUGAUGAUUUGAUAAGUUGUUGAGCUGUCCAAGCCAGUAGAGAUCUCAUCCAUGAACAGUGCCUUUGAUGGUCCGACCAGCAUCUCACCUAUUAUUCAUACAUUUCACAUAAUUGAAUUAAAUUAAAUUAAUGAACAAAAAAUCUAAUUUGAUUUGUUCUUUCAUUUAGUUAGAAACCAAAUUAUCCCACCUGUUGUGACACGCUUCCUUUGUCCUCCAGAGAUACCCCUUAUCAUCUCAUCUCCUACCAUGGUAUCUGCACAGAUGUCUAGUCCCAGAAUCUGUAGAUUUAAAAGUAAAGAAAAACAAACAAAUCAUGAAUUAGAAUUGGGUUUUCUCAGAAAUCUAUAUGCCAUCAUUGAACGUUUUAUGGUUCUAAUACCUUCAAUGUAUAAUCAGUGACAACAUUUUCCUUCUGACCUUCUGUUGCUGCUGCCUGAAAUAUUGGAAUCCAAUGAUGAAAAUGUCAACCACCAUGGAAGCAACUUCAGUACAUUAAGAAAUUUCAUAGAUAAAAGAUUUUGACAUAGCAUAAAAUUCACAAAUUAGAUUGACUCAAGCCAUUCAUUUGAGUACAAAAAGAAAGAAACAAACUCCAGAACAGACAGAACACCGACAAUACAAAGCCAUUUUGCCCAUCUAUGUCAGAAUUCAAAAUUUAAUUUCUGGAAAAGAGCAGUAUUCAUGUUCACUAAAAGCAAAUAGCUCAAUUUCUGCAGAGCUGAUUAAAAUUUCACUAAAAGUAGAUUCUGUCUCACCUUCAUGAAGACAUCAAGAUCAGGAUCAGGCUUAAUAUUUGCUGCUUUCUCUCUUCUUGACAGCUCUGCUAACAUGUCUGCACAUGGCAAAAAUAAGAGUCAAUCUUCUAGGCUACGGAAAUGUCAUAAAAUUGCAUUCACAACCUGCAAAAAGCAGAGAAAAUAAAAGCAAAGGCAAUGGUUUAGACUAACCAUAUCGAUCUCCAACACCCUGGCAUCUUGCAGAGAAUGCCAAGGUUUCCCUUACAGUCAUUUCUCCUAUAUGGGUAUCAUGUUGGCUGAUAUAGGCUGCAGUUCUCUGGGGUACAAACUCAUUCAUGCCAUGGCCGUUGUAUGUCACCCUUCCCAUAACCUAAAGAAGGAAUUUCAGUUUUGAAAUUGGAUAUGAGAUUAAAGAAAUAAAAAAUUAAACAUUCCAUAAAGAAUGGAGGAGUAAUAAUCAUUUUCUCUCAACCUUUAGAUUGGGAUCAAGCUUGCCAGCCAAUGCCAAUAAGAGGGUGGUCUUUCCAGAACUUGGAGGACCUAAAAGCAAAGUCAAUCUGCAGAAGAAAAAUAUGCACAAAAAUCUUGAGUAUGGAUCUUCGGGACAUUCUAACUUUGAAGAACGAAAAAAUCAUUUGAGUUAUCGAUCCAUUUUUUACUAGAAACAAAUUCAUUCUCACCUGCGUGGUUUGAUGGUUCCACUAACAUCAUUGAGAAUAGUGAAUUUCCUCUUUUUACUUGGAAGAAUGCGCACAGCGUUCAGGAUACCCUUUGGAAAAGAAGGGAAAAUUAGAUCUAAAAACAAACUUACUUAAAAGAAUACUGAGUACAUAAGUAAUGAUCAGCAUUUGCAUGUAGUUACCUCAAGUUUACUAAAAAUGAAAUUAUGGAAUGAAGGCAAAGCUCUGCUUCCUACAAAAGCUUCUGCAUCGAUGGUAAGAUGCUCAAAUCUAACUUCAAUUUCGGGAACAUCUAUUCCAACUCUGAAAAAAAUGGAAGAAUCAUAAAAACCCAUUAUCAAAAAUUCAAAGGAAGAUGUUGCUUGGCUGUGGAGAAAAUGUGGGAAACACUCAUGAGGCAUAUUUCAGGUCAAGUUUUCAUUUUUUUUCCUCUUUAUGUUCUUCUGUUUUCAAUGUUCAAAAACAAAUGGCAAGGAAUGCAAGAAAGGAGAAGAAAUCUCACCUAUCGAUACGAUUCUUGAGCUUCAACAAGAACUUCUCAUUGUCCUCUUCAGCGACUUUUACCAACCGCUCCACUAAAUUCUUCUUCUCCUGAAACCCAAGGUUAUGGAUAUCAAUUUCACUGGCCUCGCCCUCGGAUCCCAUCAGCAAACCUCUCCUCAACCGAUUGUAGGUGGGAAGUUUCUCGAGUGCGGCCCAUUUCAAAGCUUCCUCAUCAUCCUCAUCCCUCGAAGAUCGGGAGAAAAUAUCCGCACCGGAGCUCCUCCAUAUCGAAGAACCGUUCCUCCUUAAACUACCACUGGCUCUAUAAAUGUCAGCAGUGGCCAUUGCAACCUGAAACGAAGAACCCUCCUGCAAGACCAACCAAAACCCACAAAAACCCAGAAAUCUUUCCUCAAAAGUCUGAGAAAGAAGCUCAGAGUUUUGAACCCUGGAGCCCAAAGAAGCUAAAAAUCAGAUACGCGUCCCCUUCCUCCCUUUUCUCUGCAUACCUUUGAACUGCUAAUACUUGAUGCCUUCAGAAUGGAGGGUUUAUAUAGGUGAUGGGUUGAACAGACCCUCAAGUUUUCUAACUUCUUGGUUUCCUAUGACUUUUCCUUAAAAAAAAUUAGCGGGGAAAUUGAAUAUAUAAGCUGCUGGGUAACGAUUCCAACGACUUUGACCCGUCAAAUUCUUAAAUAAAACACUUCUAGAGUUUCCCAAUGGGAACGCGAUCUGUUUAAAGCUUCCCACCGGCCAAAUGAACAAACUUUUUCCUUCCAACUGUUGGGUCCAGGAAGGUUCCUAGUGGACCCAAAUCCUCCAAAACUAUAUAUAUAUAUUUGGCAUUUUUUUUAACGGAUUAAAUACAUUUUUCCCGGCUUUUGCACAUAUGUCUUCUGACGACUUUACGGAAAAUCCUUGGAGAAUUGUCCUUCUAGACGUUCUAAAACGGUAAUGUUUUGGUCAAACGGAAAGUCAACCAUGGAAAAUAAAGGUUUAACAGAUAGAUAACAAUGAUGUUUUUUUUUGUGCGCAUACCCUCUGACCUCACGAACACGCACGUUUCUAGAUUUCCUUGACCUUGUGAACACGCACGUUUCUAGAUUUCCUUUACCUUAUGAAUACGCACGUUUCAAUCUAUAGUAAUGAGUACGAGUAUAGAUUACUUUAAGUGGAAAAAUUUUCUAAAUGCUCAAGAGUUUGAUAAUAAUUUUAUAUUUCACAUUAUAUAAAUCAAACUUCCCUUUUAAAACACUCAUCUUCUUAUCUCUUUCAAAAAAAAAAAAUUGAGUUGAUAUCAACAAUCAAAAAUAAAUUUAAAAAUUUUUAAAUUAAAAAUAUAAUUAAAAUUUAAAAUAUAUAAAAAAAAAUAUUCACCCCAACUACAUUUUCAACGCUUUCUUAUUAUAUAUAUUUAUAAAUCCCAAAGAUUAUCUCAAUUUUAUUUUUAUAUUUUGACCUCAAUUUUGUUAAUAAAUUUUAAAUCUUAAUAACAUGUGUUUUUUUGGCCCACUCACCCUUUAAUUUUAAUUUUUAUUAUUUUAUAUUUUUUUAUUUUAUUAUUAUUAUUACUUACUACUACUACUAUUAUUAUUAUUAUUAUUAUUAUUAUUAUUAUUAUUAUUAUGUUUUAUUUUAUUUUUUUAUUUUUUUCUUUCUUUUCUCUCUCCUCUCUCUUCUCUCUUCCUACUCUCCAACUACCCCACCCACUGUCUCUCUCUCUCCUCCCAUACCCCUCAUCCCACAACCAUACCCCGAUUACCCCCCUCCUCCUCCUCCCAUUCAUUCUUCUACUAUGGCUGGCCUCCCAUUCCCCUUUCUUUUUUUUUUUUCUUUUUUUUCUUUCUUCUGCUUCUCACCCUAGGACACACGCACAGCCGGCCCAUUUUUCCCCCAUUCUCACCGGAUUCCAGAUAUUUUUCCUCUUCUCGGCUGACUCCCACAGUAGUCAACAACCCUAUCUCCCCACUCCGUUUCUCAGCUCUUUCCCCAUUUUUCCUUCACUCCACAGACGACCAUAGCUGGCUCCCCAGUUUUCUUGAUUUUUUUUAUUUUUAUUUAUUUUUAUUUUUAUUUUGGCUACCCAAACACCACAUCUCGUCGACCCCGAUUCUCUUCUUCCUAUUUUUUCUCUCAUUUUCUCCAUUUUUUUCUCAUCUCUCUCCUUACUCACUCUCACAUGAUUGGAGCCCCCCAUUUUCUUCUUCCCCAUUUUUCAUUUUUGUUCUCUAUCCAAACACCCACUUGCAGAGACACAGGCUGACCCAUUUCUUCUCUUCCAUUUUUAUUUUUAUUUUUUAGUAUCUCCCUUUUUUUUAUUAUUAUUAUUAUUAUUAUUAUUAUUAUUAUUAUUAUUUGUUUUUGUCUUUCAAAAACACCAUCAACCCUCAUUGCGCCGGUCGGCGACCCCCUCUCAUUUCCUCUCAUUCCGUCACUUUCCUAUCCCACUCACUUUCCAUUACUAUUAUUAUUGUUAUUAUUUUUUAUUUGAUUUUAUAAAUAAAAUUGAAUAAUGAUAAAUAAAAUUGAAUAUAAUAAUAAUUGUUAUUAUUAUUGUAUAUAAUAAUAGUAAUAACAAUGAUAAAUAAAAAAUAAAUAAAUAAACAAAAGAUAAAUAUUGAGAAAGAGUUGAAAAUGCAUUAAGAGUUAACAUAUAUAUCAUUUCUAGGAUUAAAGUUUUUUUUUUUUUUUUUACUUUUUAUUGUAUUUUUUAUUUUUAAAAUCUUUUAUUUUAUUGUUUAGGCCAACCAACAAAAUUUUUAUUCAAUUUUUUUUAAAAGAGAUAAGAAGAUGGGAUGUUUUAAUCAAGAAUACUUGAUUUAUAUAAUGCAAAAUAUAAAAUUAUUAUGGGAGGAUUUUUCCACAUUGACUUGCAAUCAAUAUUAUAUAAUUAAUAAAUUAAUAAAUAUAUUUGUUAGUAAGAUAAUUUUAAUAAAUUUAUAAAUAUAUUUAUUAGCAAGAUAAUUUUAAUAAAUUAAUAUGAGAAAUCAAUUUUAUGAUAAUUUUAUUUAUUAUUGUCAAAUUUUUAGUAUCUAAAUUUUUAGGAGAGAUCAUUAAGAGGAUCUAGUUUUGCAUGAUUUUAAUAUUUGAUCCCUAGUUUUAUUACUAAAUAUGAGAUUAUGGUUCUAGGAAAAAAAAAAUUCUAAUGUUAGAAAUUUGAAAAUAUAUAUAUAAUUACUAGUCAUUAUGCAUUUAAUGCAUUGACAGAUGAUCACUUAGGCUUACAUCCUUAAUCAGUUGAGCAAUCAAUUUGACGGAAACUCAACUAGUCAAAGCUUUAACUACUAGAAAAGAGAAAAAUAACAAAUGUGUCUUGAUUUAUCAAGUCUAACCUAUUCAACAGAUUCCUCAACUCCUCAAUCGUAAAUGGCAUGGUUUAAGGUCUAAAACCUCCAAUAACUUACGUUAACCUUCUUAAAACUUUUCAAGAUAAAUUUAAAAGUAAUUUAGUUCAAGGUUUUAAUUGAAAAUAAAAAAUCGUCCAAUUCUUUGAUAUAUGUAUAAAUGAUCUUAAUUUUACACAACAUUUUAGGUUAAUUUAAGUCUUCAAGGAUCCUAAGUCUUCCAUGAUUGCUUGAGCUUUCUUUGGAUUUUCAAUAGUAAACUUAAAACUUAAUUUGAUUUAAACUAUUAGUAAUUUUAACUUUAUUUUGUAAUUAUAAUUAAAAAAACCUAUUAGGAGAAUCCUUGGGCUAAUAGUCUUGAUGUUUGAUCUUUAAGAUUAUUCAAUUCCAAAAAGAAAUGGGAGGAUCAAGGAUUUUUGUUGGUUGAAGGAGAGUGAGAGGGGCUAGCCAUGUCAAACAACACACUUUUGAUGCCUUUUGAUAAGGGUUAUAAUUGGUUAAAUUGGUCAAAAUAACCUCAAUAUUUGCAAAUUUAACCCACCUAUCAAAAAGUUAAAAAAUAAAAAUAAAUAAAUUGUUGAUUGAGACAAAAAUGCCCUUCCUUUUAUUUCCCUCCAACACUUACAACUUCUCAUCUUCUACUUCAUUUAACCUUCUACAAAAAAAACUCAUCAUCUUUUUCUUCAAAAACCAUAAAAAAAUUCUCAUCAUUUUCUUCUACUUCAUUAUCUUCUUUUGGUGUAUAGAAAGGAAAGCUUAUCUUCUAUUCUGCUUCAUUUAUAGAACAACUUCUCAUCUUUUAUCUUCUUAUUUAUUUCAUUCUCUCCAUUUGGUGCAUAGAACGGAAAGCUCAUCUUUCCUUUAGAAGCCCUAGAAAAUUUCUCGUCUAUCAUCUCAUUCUCUAUUUCAUUCCCAAUCCUUAGAAAAAUUAUCUCAUCUCAUUUUAUCCUCUAGUCUAUCCUCUUAUCCUCUCAUCUUUUUGUCAAGGUAUCUCAUAUUGUAUCUUCAAGCACGAUAAAAAAAUAAGUUCAUUGAAGAGUGAUAAGAGAAAAAGAUUAAAAAUGGUGGUGAAAAAUCAAAAAUCACAAUUGCGAAUAGAAAAAGCAAAAAUUGUGACUAUGAACUUAACUGUGGUUAAGUACUUUAUUAAUGCAACUCAACUAUUGUUAAGUUCAAGUGAAAAUUCCGACUAUGAACUUAACCGUGGUUGAGUUAUUUGUUAAUGCAACUCAACCACUAUUAAGCUCAGGUGAAAAUUCUAACUGUGAACUUAACUGUGGUUAAGUUAUUUGUUAAUGUAACUCAACCAUUGUUAAAUUCAAGUGAAAAUUCUGAUUGUGAACUUAACUUUGGUUAAGUUAUUUGUUAAUGCAACUUAAUAAUAAUUAAAUUUAUAUUAAUGCAAUGACCGUUAACUUAACCAUAAUUAAACUUAAUCAAUUAAUUUAUAUGAUAAAACUAAAACAUUAAUUUAAAAUUUCAAUCUAUAAUUCAAAAAAAUUGCUUUAAGCAUAUACAAAAAAAUAAGCUCACAAAUCCCUUCAUGACCCUAUAUAGAAAAAUAAAUAAAUAAAAAUGUAGAUACAUAGUUAAAUCAUCCUUAAAAAACAAAUUCUAUUGUAGCAUUAUUAAAGUGACUGAUGAAUUGGUUGUAAGGGAAAUUCAUGGAUGUUGAUAUUGCUCUCAACAAUAUUGACACAACUAUAUUCAUCUCUAGGAUGUAAUAGGAUUGAUCGUUCGCAUGUUUUUCGAUUAUGCUCAUAAUCACCACAUCUACCACAACAUCAUGUGUGCUUAACCUCUCCACUUGAAUGAAUUCUCUCCUUUCUUGGUCUUCCUACUGGUCGUCAACUUUUUAAAGGUAGCACAACUCUACAAUGAAUGUCUUCCUGAAUGCAAUACACAACUCUCAUUAAUUCAUGAUAUGAUAUAUUCUUCUUCACCAUAAGGUCUUUACCUUCAUUUCCUUUAAAGUGGUAUAUGUUCUCAUCUGAUACCUAAUUCCCUUUAUACAAAAGCAUUAUUCAUACCUCAUCAAUGACUGCAAAAAUAAAUAUUUCAAAUUAUCAUAUUAAGAAUGAAAUAGUACAACAUAUGAAAUACUUUUAUUAAGUUUCAAUUAUAGACUAUGUAAUGAAUCUUAAAACAUAUAUUUAUAUUUUUAUUAGAUAACCCACUACAUAAUAAUAUGUCAACAAUUCAAUCUUAGUUUUCAAUAUAGUUAUAUAAAAAUAGACUUUUGCUUUGAAUAGCAACACAUAAACUCAACUUAUGUUAAGUUAAAUCUAAAAAAUAGUAAAAUUUGUUGUUCAAUGCAGCAAUGCAACACUUCCCAUAAAUCAAAUAUCCAAAGGAACAAUAUAUAACUACAAUAGGUAUUAAUCAUAUGAGCAAUACUAAAACCAUAAUAAUUUUUCAUGCAUGUGAUUUAUUGCUUACCAUCAUUUGACCUUGUCAUAUGGAUAAAUCUUUUUAACUUCUUUUGAAUGAACUUUUCACUUUUUCAUAACUAAUAAUGGAGUCUCUAUUUUCUACCUACAAUGGUGAAGUGAGGUUUUGAAUUUUUAGAAAACAGAAAGAAAUAAAAUGAUAAUCUAAAAAAGAAAUUGUUGGUUGCUUACAUUUUUUUUUUUCAUUUUAUCGUGAUCAAGAAUGAAGAAUAAAUGAAACAAUGGUAAGAACUUAGGCUUGUUCGCUACAGGAAAACAAAGAGAAGGAGCAACCAAUGAUUGAAUAAAAAAAUAAAAACCUAAUCUACUAUAAAAAUAGAACAAAAGGGAAAGUUAUAUUGGAGGGAAAAAUGAGGGGUAUUUUUGUUUCAAUUAGGUCAACUUUUUUGCCUUUUAAGGGGUGGGUUAUAUUUGCAAAUAUGGGUGUUAUUUUGACUCGUAUAACCAAAUAAACCUUUUAAAAAGGGUGACCAUGGUAUGAUGACCCUUUCUCCUUUCCUUUUGGUUUAUUUUCAUUUCAUGGCCACUUAUUAAGAUGAGUGUUAUUCAAUAGAUCACCGUAUGUUCUUCCAAAUAAAUCAUUCCGACCUGUCUAAGCUUUGAAGAUUUUGUAACUCCAACUUGGAAUCUCCUAGAAGCAUUAAAGAUUCUUAUGCUUCCCCAAAGGAAGAUAAUAGCUACAAGGGAAGUUUCCUAGUCUAAAAUGAAAUAUAAGAAGGGACCUGUCACUUCAUCUUUGAGGUUUGGACAUGAUGGAGGCAACAUUUUGUUUGGUUGGGGAGAAAAUGUAGGAAACACCUAUCAGGCAAACUCACCUAUCCAUACGAUUCUUGAGCUUUAACAAGAACUUCUCAUUGUUCUCUUCAACAAUUUUUAUCAACCGCUCCACUAAAUUCUUCUUGUCCUGAAGCCAAAGGUUGUGUAUAUCAACUUCAAAGCCCUCACCCUCUGAUCCCAGCAACAAACCUUUCCUCAACCGAUUGUAGGUGGGGAGUUUCUCGAGUGCAGCCCAUUUCAAAGCAUCCUCGUCAUCCUCACCCCUCGUAGAUUGGGAGAAAAUCUCGACAUUAGGGGUCCUCCAUCUCAUAGAACCAGCUCUACGAGUUUUAGGAGUCGACAUUGCAAGUAGAAAGGAAGAACUCUCUUGCAAAACCAACAAGAACUUGGCAAAACCCGAACGGUUGAAAUUAUAAUCCGAGCUAAAGUCAAACUAAAAGAAUUUUAGGAAUUUGAUAAAUAUUAAAAUUGUUAUUUAUUUAGAUUUUUAUGUUAAUUAAGACUUUUGGUAUAAUAGCAAUUGGAGUCUUGGUACAUUGGUUUAUUAUAAGUUAUCAUGUUGAAAAGAAAAAAUGCAAUAAAGUAUUAUUUUAGCAAAAAUAUUAUUAAUACUCAAUUGUGUGGGUUCCAACUGAAACCUUUCCAAAGAAUAUAAACUCCUUUUUCUCUCUCUUAGUACAAUGUUAUGUCUUGUUGUAUUGCUACUACUGCAUUGUAAAAAUCAUAUAGAAUGGAAGGUUUAUGUAGUUAUUGGUAGGACAGAAAAUGAAGCGGUUCAAAAGAUUUGAAACUAGUUUAUUUUCUUGUGAUUCUUUAAGCUAUGUUUGGUUUAUGGAAAGUAGUAAGGAAAGAAAAAAAAGUGUUAAGAAAAAUGGUUUUUUUAUGUUUAGUUUCAUAAUGAAAAAUAAAAAAGAAAAUAAAAUAUAAUUAAAAUUUGUUAAAAAUUUAUAUAUUUUAAAAUUAUUUAAUCUUUGUAUAAUAGUCGAAAAUAAGUAAAAUAACUUUGAAGAAAUAUAUUGAAGUAAUUUAUUAAAUUUAAAUUUAUUUAAAUUUUCUUCAUUUUUUUUUCUUUCUACUUUUCCUCUUUAUUUUUUUUCCUUCACAUUUUUUCUCAUAUUUUUUGGGAACCAAACAUAGCCUAGAAAAUUAGUGAGGGAAAUCGACUAUAAAAAAGUUUGUGCAAUGACUCCAUAAUAUUGUACGCAUGCCACCAUUUUUUUUUUCCUUUCAACUUCCUAUAUUAAGACUUUCACGGUUCAUAAUUUUUGGUUUCUUACACUUUCUUUAGCAAGUAAACAAAAAUGUGAAUUAUUGAAUGUUUUGUUAGUUUUUAAAAUAAGAAAUAUAAUACUCAAUUUUAUACAUGUUUUCAGGCAUGUUUGGUAUGUAAGUUAUGAUAGGAUAGAGUAUCUAUAUUCUAUAAUAUCAAAUAUGCAUUAAAUGAAAAAUGCAUAUUUUAAACUAUAAUUUCAAUGAGAUAUGAUAUAUUUUUUAUAUUAAAUCCAAUAUGAUAUUGUAAGAUGACAUAUCCAAUGCAUUUCCUAAAAUAAAUGAUUUCCAUAUAUUUUUUAAGAUUAUUAAAUCCAAUGGAUAUAAUAUUCUAAGGUAACAUAUCUAAUGAGAUAGGUAAUGUAACAUUAUGCUUAUAUUUAAUUUGUAAAAUGAAUAAAAAAUAAAAUGGAUUAUAUAUUAUUUUAUAACAUAUCUUCUAUUUUAACCAUAAAUUUAACUUUGCAAUAAAAAAAAAUAUUUUACUAAAUAAGUGAUAAAAAAUAAAAAAAUAAUAAAAGAAAAAUAAAUUUAUGAUACAUAGAAUAAUAUAUCUCACUACUUAUCCGAUGUAGAAGGAAUAUAAAAAAGAUAUAGAUAAUAUAUAUCACUACUUAUUCUACCAUAUGUUCCAUCCACCCAACCAAACCAUGACCUUACGAUAUAAAAAAAUUAAAGUUUAAUAGCAUCCACAUUAAUAAAAACAAACAAUUUACGAAUAUAAACCAAACAAUCAAACACUCAAAUGAUAUUUCGCUCUAUUUAGACUAAUGAAAAAUAAACAAUUUAAAUAUUAAAAAACAUUCCACUUUAUUAAGCUUUAAGGUUAGAAUCUUAAAAAAAAGUUGCUUUAAGAAUAUUUUUUAGAGUUAUUUCAAAGGAAUGGAAUUAUUUGUUUUUUUUUUUUUUUCAUUUAUGUCGUAAAGCAAAUUAUUUUAAAAUUUAAAAUCAAAAUAUAAAAAUUUUAUUUUUUAUAUUAAGAUAAAAUUGUCUUAUAAAAAGUAACAAGUUAAAAAACAAAUAAUUUUUAUAAUGACUUAAGUCUUAACACUAUUAAGCAUUAUUUAGAUAUAAGGUUUAUUUAAUUUUUUUUUUUAUAAAAAAAUACCAUCUUUCACAUAAGAUUUAAGUAGGUUUAACCUAUUCGAAAUUGCUUGAAAUCUAAGAGGUUAUUUGUUUUUUAAACUUAAAUCUUAAAGCUAGUUGCUUUAAAAUUUAAGAUAAAACUAAAUAAAAUAAAAUAAAAUAAAAACUUUUGUUAUUAAGACAAAAUUUUCUUUUAAAAAUGAUAAACUAAAAAGAUAAUUUGAAAAAUGACUUCCAUCUUAAAGCAACUCUUUUUAUUAGGAUUCCAUGUCUAUCCUAAUUAAAAUUAAUAAUCAACUUGAUUUUGAGUAAGUUUAUAUUAUUGUUAACCGACAUUAUUUUUCAAUAAAAGCAUUUGCGAAAACAUAAACACAUUUAUGCUUCAAUAAAUGGAAUACAUUUUUUAGUAAUAUAACCAUACUUUAUUUAAAAAAAAAAACAUAUUAGUCUAAUAAUCGAUAUUCAUAAUUGAUAAUAUCAUAUAUUAAAAAUUAUGAACGGUGAAUAACUAAUAUAUAUGGAUUAUUAAAGUAACGAUGAGCAUACAACCUAUGUAACUUGGUGAAAACUUUUUUGUCCAUCUGUUUUUGCUUUGCUUAUUAAAAAAUAAAUUAUUAAAGCAAUAAUGAGCAUAAAAAUUAAUUAAAACAAUAACUAUCACUCAAAUGAAGUAUUAUAGGCUCUAUUGAUAAUUGUUUUUAAAAACAAUUUUUAUUCUCCAGAAUAAAAAAACAAUGAAACAAGUUUGAUAAUAGAAAACAAAAAACAUUUUAUUGUUUUUUUUUAUAAAAAAAAGACAUUGUUUUUUCAAUCCUUUAAUUGUUUUCACUUUUUUUAAGGAUUACUAAAAAAAAUUAACCAAAUGAUUAAAAAUAAAACACUACAUGUAAAAAUUAUUUUAAACCAUAUUUAAAAAUAUAGAAAAUAGGUUAAAAAUAUUUUAGAUUUUUAAAUAGACUUUUGUUUUAUAAAAAAUCAAAUAACAAUUUUCAAAAAUUAUUUUUAAAAAUUGUUUUCAAAAAAACAUUUUUCAUAUAGAACCCUAUCCUACCAACUAUAUAUAUAUAUAUAUAUAUAUAUAUUCACACAAUGCUAAUGCUAUGAAAAGGUAAUGAUAAUAGAGAGUAGAGAAGAACUUACUAAAUUGAAGAUCGAACAAGUCUUAGAAAAACAUUGUCAGUAAGACAUGGGAUGAGAACGAUUUCAUAUAGCUACUGAGAUUGUCCUCAAAGUUACAGCUAGUAAAAUUGUCCUCAAAGUUGUUCUUCAAAAACAAAAAUACUAUAAAUGGUUGGAUCCAACCUUUCAAGGAAACCAAAGCCUUUUUUUUUGAUAAAGAGAUUUUUUUUUUCCCUUCUAAAAUGAACAUUCUAUAUAUAGAAUCUGAAGGUAUUAAACUGUGCCUCCAAGUAGUUUGACUGUAAAGUAAAAUUCAAUCCUAUGUGUUGAUUGUUCUUGUGGUUUGCUAAUUGGUCAGGCAAUCGAUCUUUCCUCAAGUGGUUUCCAUAUUAUCAUUUUUCAUCUUUUUCCUCAUCAUUUUUAUCCUUUUCCAUAAGUAAAAAAAUAUUUAAAUAAAUUAUUUCAUUAGCAAUUUGUUGAAUACUUGAAAAUAAAUUAAAUAAGAGAAGUAUUCACAUAUUUUUUACUUAAUUAGUCAUGAUGACAUUAAUAAUGAGAGUAAGGUAUAACCAAAUAAGACUAAGAUAGGAAAAAAAUGAGACCAAAAAAUUUGUCUCUAAAAGGUAUGAAAAAUUGAGAAUCAAAUAUGAAUUCAGGAGAUAUAGGUAUAAAUUUAACAAUAAAAAUGUUAAUUAUGCUUAAAUGUAUGAAUUUAAGAAAAUCUUAAAUUUUGCUCAUAAUUAUUCAUGAUCACGUCAAAUUUAUAUAUAGGAAUGGUUGANNNNNNNNNNNNNNNNNNNNNNNNNNNNNNNNNNNNNNNNNNNNNNNNNNNNNNNNNNNNNNNNNNNNNNNNNNNNNNNNNNNNNNNNNNNNNNNNNNNNAGCAAUGCAUAACCAAAUGGUACUAAGAUAGGAAAUAAUGAGACCAAAGAACUUGUCUUUAAAAGGUAUGAAAAAAUAAGAUUCAAAUACCAAUUAACUAGAUAUAGGUAUAAAUUUAAUAGGAGAAAUAUUAAAUACGCUUAAGGUUAUGUUUGGUUCCAGGAAACUAUUAAGAAAAGAAAAAAAAAUAUAAAGGAAAAUUAUUUUCUGUUUGAUUGUUUUAUGAAAAAUAUAAAAGAAAAUCAAAUAUAAUUAAAAUAAACAGAAUGAGUUUAAAGUUAUAAAUAAAAAUAAUUUAUCGACUUUUAAUUCUUUCGUAUUUUCCCACAAAUUUUCAUGGAACCAAACAUAGCAUAAAUGUAUGAAUUUAGGAAAAUAAAAAAUUUUGGCCAUAAUUUUUCAUCAUUUCAUCAAAUAUAUAUAGGAAUGGUUGAAAAUAAUGAGAGCAAUGUAUAACCAAAUGAUAUUAAGAAAAUAAUGAAAUCAAAUAAUUUGUCACUAAAAGGUACUGAAAAUGAGAGUCAAAUAUGAAUUUAUGAAAUACAAGUAUAAAUUUAAUAAGAGAAAUCCUAGUAAUGCUUAAAUAUGUGAAUUUUAGAAAUUCUAAAAUUUUGACCAUAAUUAUUCUCACAUCAAAUAUAUAUAUAUAUAGGAAUUGUUGAAAAUAAUGAAACCAAAAAAUUUGUCUCUAAAAAGUACCAAGAAAUGAGAAUCAAAUAUGAAUUAAUCAAAUAUAAGUAAAUUUAGUUAGAGAAAUAUUAACAAUGCUUAAAGAUAUGAAUUUAAGAAAAUCUAAAAUUUUAACCAUAAUUAUUCAUGAUUACAUUAAAUAUAUAUAGGAAGGGUCGAAAAUAAUGAGAGCAAUGUAUAAGCAACUGGGACUAAGAAAAUAAUGAAACAAAAAAAUUUGUCUCUAAAAGGUAUGAAAAAAUGAGAGUAAAAUUAUGAAUUAAUGAGAUAUAGGGAUGAAUUUAACAAGAGAAAUAUUAAUAAUGCUUAAAUAUAUGAAUUUAAGAAAAUCUAAAAUUUUGGUCAUAAUUAUUCAUAAUCACAUCAAAUAUAUAUAGUGAUGGGUGAAAAUAAUGAGAUCAAUGUAUAACCAAAUGAGACUAAGAUAGAAAAUAAUAAAACUAAAAAAAUUCUCUAAAAUGUAUGAAAAAAAUGAGGUUAAAUAUGAAUUAACAUAUGUAAAAAUUUAAUUAGAAAAAUAUUGACAAUCUUAAGUAUGUGAAUUUAAGAAAAUCUAAAAUUUUGACCACAAUUAUUCAUGAUCACAUCAAAUAUAUAUAGGAACGGUUGAAAAUAAUGAAAGGUAUAAUCAAAUGAGACUAAGAUAGAAAAUAAUGAAACCAAAGAAUUUGUCUUUAAAAGUUACAAAAAUAAAAAAAAAUGAGAGUCAAAUGUGAAUUAAUGAGAUGUUGGUAUAAAUUUAAUCAGAGAAAUAUUAAUAAUGCUUAAGCAUAUGAAUUUAAGAAAAUCUAAAAUUUUGGUCAUAAUUAUUCAUUAUCACAUCAAAAUAGGACGCUUGAAAAUAAUGAGAGCAAGGUAUAAUCAUACGAGACUAUGAUUAUCAAACUACUUCAAAAUCAAAAUCCUUAAUAGAAUCAAAUCAUCAAGAUGAUGUUAGUCUUUUUCAAAACAUUGAAGAAAAUCUAAGCCAAAGUUCCAAUGACCAAGAAAUAUGCAUAAAAGAUAGUUGCCGACCAAAGACCUUAAAAGUAAUCACUAAGGAAUAAGAAUUGAUUUUAGAAUUACUUAUUAAGGUUAAAGAUUCUUCAAUAAGAACAUAAUUAUGUGAAAUUUGUAAGAAAUCGAUUUCUAAACUAGAAAUGAAAAAAAAACUAUAAAACCUUAUAACUUCGAUGAAAUAUUGACAAGAUUUAACUAUAAUUCCCUAAAAAAGUGAUUAUUAAAGAUCUUCAAUAGGAAAUAAGAUGAUGUUAGAAGUUAGAGAAUUAAGACAAUGCACCAACAUAUGUUUAACAAACCUUCAAGAACAAAUUAAUUAGAUAGUAAGUAACAAGAAUUAAUUUAUCCUAAAAUCCUUAUAAGUUAAUGAAGAUUUAUCACACUUAUAUCUCAAUGUUAUAAAUAGGGUCAUCUUUAAAAAAAUGCAAUGUUUCCCUAACAAUUGUGAUUAACAAUGAGUUCAUCGCUAAGAUUAAUUGUUGUCUUAAUAGAUUCAAGAGUAGCUUCUUUAUGACAUGCUAUUAGGUCAAACUUAAGAUUAGCUACAAAUUGUCUAAGGCUCAUAUCAAUAAUCAAGGGAUAUGCACACAACAUUUAAUUUGGUAUAAGAUUUAAGAGAGAAAUAUCCUUGGAAUACCCUUUUUAAUUGUCUACCCUAUCACUAGAGUAGAUGGUAAAGGUAUAAGACUAAACUCUUAAAUCAAGAGACUCUUUUUGAAUUUGCAUAUCCUCUAAAAAGAAACCUAAAUAAAUUAAGAUCCUUGAUUAUUUCUAAAAAAAUAUAGGCUAAGGAUAAUCAUAUCAAUUUUUUAGUUCAAGAAGUUAGAUAUAAGAGAAUUGAAGAACAAUUGGAAGUUAAAAAGACUCAAGAUGCUAUCCAAUAAUUCAAAGAAAAGUUGGUUAGAGAAGUCCAUCCUAAAUUCCCUAAUGUAUUUUGGCAUAGGAAUGAACAUGUAAUAGAACUACCUUACAACCUAGAAUUUAGGGAAAAUGAUAUUCCCACUAAGGCAAGACCAAUUCAAAUGAUUCAAAAACCAUUGAGAUAUUAUGAAAAGGAAAUUUAAGAACUCUUUGAUAAAAAAUUAAUAAAGAAUCCAAAUCUCCUUGAAGUUGUGUAUGCGCAAAUUUCGUGAAGUCUUGCAAAACAACCAAAAACUAUAGGAAAAAUCUAUGUGAUCAAAACUUUAUAUUGAAAUUAAUUGAUUGUGCGGUAUAGACUCAAAUAUAAUAUUCUUUACAAAAAAAUAUUUUCCCUUUGAUUCAUUCACUUUGAUUACAAUCCCAAAGAUGAUGACAAGAGUCUUUUCUUGAUUAUUUUAGAAAAUCAAUCCAAGGCUUAGAGUGGUUUUUUCUUGAAUGAACUUGUUAAAUGGUGAAAAACACGUUUAUGCAUUUUCUCAUACUUGCAGGGAGAUUUUAUAAUAAUAAUAAAAAAAUUCUUUGUAAAGCUUUUUUUCCUAUGUGAAGUCCUUUUGCCAAUCUCUCUUUUCCUUGAAAGAAGUCACCUUUAUUUAUAGGUGAAGAUAGGAAAUUAAAUUUUGAAUUUCAAGAUUUGAUUACUUCAUUCAAGGAAUUUGGUUCCUUGAUUAUUUUCAUAACUUUUCUCCUUCCUCACUAAAGUUUUGUCAACAAGAUAAUAUCUAUUAUUUGGUUGGAGAUUUUUGUUCCCCUUUUUUUAGGAAACUUGUUAAAAAGAGAAUAUCUAUUUCUACUUCUCUUCGAUUAGAAGACUUAAUUUCAUAGUCUUCCAAAUUUUACUACGUGUUACCUUCAAAGUUGCAUGCCACAUGUCUAAUGACUUGUCAAGCCUAAAUUUUGUUGAAAUAUGAAGUUACAAUUUUGAAGUCCGAUUUAAUGGUAAUUUAAUCCACUAAAAAUUUGGAUAGCUACAAAUUUCUCUAUUGUUUAUGUUAAAAAACAAACAAAAUUUGAAAGAGGAACACCUAGGCUUGUGAAUAAUUACAAACCCCUUAAUGAAGCCUUAAGAUGGAUUAGGUAUCAUAUUCCAAAUAAGAGAGACCUUCUUCAAAGAUUAGUUAAUUAGUCUAGGAUAUUCUUUAAGUUUGACGUGAAAUCAAGCUUUUUUGGCAAAUCCAGAUCAUAGAAAAAAAACAUGUAUAAAACAACUUUUACAAUACCAUUUGGACAUUAUGAAUGGAAUUUAGUAUCAUUUGGUAUUAAAAAUGUCCUCUCAUAAUUUCAAAACAUUAUGAGGCAACUGUCCUAAUGAUGAACUCAUUGUUAAUUACAAUUGUUAGGAAAAUAUUUCAUUUUUGAAAGAUGAUCCUAUUUAUAACAUUGAGAUACGAGUCUGAUAAACCUUCAUUGACUUUUGAGGAUUCUAAGAUAUCUUGAUUUUUAUUACUUAAGAUCUUAUUAAUUUGUUCUUGAAGGUCACUUAAACUUAUAUUGGUGUAUUGUCUUAAUUCUUGAACCUCUAUGUGUGCGUGCGUGCGUGUUCUCAUAACAAUUGCAGCAGCUCUUGCAUCUAGCCCUGAAGUUGGCUCAUCCAUGAAUAUUAUUGAGGGAUUUGCCACAAGCUCAACUGCAAUGGUCAGCCUCUUGCGCUGCUCAGUUGAGAGACCAUUUACACCUGGCAACCCAACUAGUGUGUCCCUCAAUGGGGUCAGUUCAACGAGCUCCAUGACUUCCUCAAUGAACAUCUGUAACCAUUAGCAAGGAUUAGAAAUUGUUUGAACCGGCACUUUUCCCCAGAGUGAAGCUCAACCAAUUUUGGGAUGAUGCACACUAAGCAAGGCUUCCAAAAUUCUGAACAAUCAAAGCAAGUGAUUCUACAAUUCAAAGCAUAACUGCUUCAUUUGGAUAUGAUCAUCAGGAUACCACUGUAUGAGCACCAAACUUUCUUUCAUUGAAUGAGUUGAAUACUAGGAAAACUGAACUACUUCUCUUCAUGGGUCCAACAUAUCAGUAGAAAUGGGAUCUGAAAGCGCAGACAUGGAACCGCUGGAAAUAACUCUGAACCUUCUGAAGAAGGCCACAACUUCCCUUUUUGAUAACUCAAGUCUAAAUUUAAGAGCAUUGCAAACCCUGCCCCUGGUACACACUUUGUUGGCUUUGAAACCAAACUAUUUUCAUGUUGAUACCGUGUCUUUAUGAUUUCGGCUACUUAAAGCAGCUACCAAAAGUGGAGCACCAUACUGGUAAGUUGGUAAUCAAGAUGAAAGGAUUGCAUAAGGCUAUAUUAUUGUCUUGAAUUUCAAAUUUUAAAUUACAAAAAAAAUUAGGAGAAAACAAAAUACAAUAAAAUUGGGAGAAAACAAAAUACAAGAAUUUAACAAGAUAAAUACUACCCGCUAUGACACUCUCUAACAGCCUAGACAUAGACCAAAACUUUUAUUCAUCUGUGAAGAACUUGUGCUGUUAUCGCCUUUGGAAGUUAAAUGCCUUAAUGGCAAAGGCAAAUAUAAAUAAGAAAAGCACCGUAAACCCAACAAUCACAACUGCAACCACUCCAAGGAAAUCAUGUUUGAAUCCAAGGUAGUCAUCCAAGUAUUGUUUCACUGUUACAUUUGAGUCAAGUAGUGUGUCCUCGAUAUCUCCAAACUGUGAUGUAACCAAUCCAUACAAACUCCAUGCAACUGGACAGGCCCAAUAGUACCAUCUCCACCACACAGGAAUCCUCUGUAUUCAUCAUGUAAGAAAUGCAACAAAAUGAGAUCGUUUCUGUAUCCAUGUGCUAAAGAAAGUGGCAAUUUAAAGAAUUAUGGGUUGAGAGCACUUACAUUUCGUGGGACUAUAAAACCUGAGAAGAGGUUCCAUAAUGUAUAAAAUGCUAAGGCAACGAUGGCAGCAAUAUGUUGAUUUGGUGUGGCAGCCACAGCCAUCAUGCCAUAAAAGGUGAAGUACAGUAAGGUGAAGAACAUGAAGAACAGAUACCAGAAGAACUUAGCAGCUGUCCAUUCAAAUCCAAUCAUUGCAUAAACUAUAACACCAUACGCCACAGCUUGUGAAAAGACAUAAGGUAUCUCAACUAAAGCCUGAAAGAAGAGAUGAAAUUUGAUUAAUAAAACCCAUAAAGUAUUAGAGAUAUACGAAGUCUAUAGCAUAAGAAAACUAAUUACCUGUGCAAAGGCAUAUGGCAUGGCUGAAUACAUUCCUGCAGCUCUUUCUCUGUAAAAGACUGUCCGUUCAACUGCCACGACUGGUUGCACCGAUUGGCCAUUCUGAAACCCAAGGAAGAGAACAGCGGCAUACAUAGAGCCCAUUGCAUUAGAUAUAUCUUGUUGUCUUGUCCUGCAUUUGCCAAUGUGAAGUAAAAAUUAAAGUUGAUAUGGAGAAGCAUACUGAGUUCUCAAAAUUCUGAACUGACUUCAAACUACCUUUUGGUGCCGAGAUCCCAGAACAUUGUCCCAAACAUCAAGGCUACGAAAGUUGUGAAGAAAAAUCUCACUGCCGUGUAUGGUGGAUUUCGCCAGUAUGACAAACGUUGUUUCCAUAAGCAUGCCAUACACUGGGUGAAGAAGGACUGGGAGUAUUGAGUAGGGAAAUAGAGGUCCUUAGAACCAGGGGUAGGUUGGCUCAAUUCUUUAAUUAAAUCUUUGUUUCUCCUGAAACAUAUGCCACAUCUUAGAAAAGGCUUCAACAACAAAUUCAAGCUUGCAUGAUGAACUUUGAAAUGGCUGUAUAUGACAUUUCAAUAUCAUAAAGCAUUCAGAUAUCCUAUAGUUGAAUCACCUGUAUAUGUCUGACUUUUCGUAUAUUUCGGUGAAAUCCACCCCCAAAAUUAAUUCUUGUGCAGAAGCGGUAACUUCCAACAUCCAAGUUGCAGGGUUAUAACCAUCUUUGAUUUUACUUACUCCUUCAAUUCCCUUAAUGAAAGCAAGUCACAUGUAUUAGUAAGCACUUUAUAUGAAUUAACUUAAACUAAAGUAUUUGCUGCUUAUAGCUUUUAAUUUAUCAUGGAAGUUUACCUCAAAAUACUUUAUCAGAUGGGAAGAAUGUCUACCCAGUGGUCCCAUAUAUAUCUCUUGCCCUCCACGCUUCAACAGGAGCAACUGCAAACCCAUUUUGAAUAUGUCAGUACUUAUAUGCAGGAGAGCAUAGAAGAGAAUAAAUCCUUUCUAUCCAUUAACAUUUCCCACCUCAUCAAAGGCAUCAAAGAUGUCAAUACUUGGCUGAUGGAUGGUGCACACAACUGUUCUUCCUGUGUCCACUGUGUUCCUGACUGUUCUCAUAACAAUUGCAGCAGCUCUUGCAUCUAGCCCUGAAGUUGGCUCAUCCAUGAAUAUUAUUGAGGGAUUUGCCACAAGCUCAACUGCAAUGGUCAGCCUCUUGCGCUGCUCGAUUGAGAGACCAUUUACACCUGGCAACCCAACUAGUGCACCCCUCAAUGGGGUCAGUUCCACGAGGUCCAUGACUUCCUCAAUGAACAUCUAUAACCAUUACCAAAGAUUAGAAAUUGUUUGAACCAGCACUUUUCCUCAAGAGUAUAGGUCAAGCCAAACUUGAACCUGACCAUAGCUCAACCAAGUUUGAAAAAUCAAUUCUAGGGCUUUGCUUGUUCAGAGCACUAAAUUCAAUAAGAAAAAUGUGGAAACAACACAGAAAACUCUCACCUUUCUUGUUUCAGCAUCCACAUUAGGAGGCAAUCGCAGCCAAGCUGAGUAGAGCAAGGACUCAUGGACAGUAACAUGAGGAGAGUGGAUGUCAUUCUGCUCACAGUAUCCAGAAAUGCGAGCAAAAGUCUCUUGCUUCUUUGGGUAGCCAGAAAUGCUGAUGCUACCCUCAAUAUAUCCACCAGUUUUCCGACCAGCCAAUACAUCCAUGAGAGUGCUUUUACCAGCACCACUAACACCCAUCAAAGCUGUAAGAACACCAGGCCUGAAAGCACCACUCACCCCCUUCAGAAGCUCCAAUCUGUCUUCAGGGACACCCUGACUUUUCAUUUCCUGCAAAUUCAAUUCAAACAACUUAGUUCUCAUUUUUGGUUUAUUAGUGCUGAUAAAACAUGUACAUUAUUUGCAUUAAUAUGAAGUUACCUCUGGCAUGUCAACUGAGUAUCUAAUAUCAUCAAAGGUGAUAGAAAGUGGUUGGAAUGGAAGAACCAUUCCUUUUUUGUUGUUACGUCUCGCCUCAGCAAUGGCUUCUGCCCUCACAGAAGAGGAUACGGAUGAGAUACUUCGCCCAAUUUCCUCUCCACUCUCUGCAUGUUAAGUUUAAAUUUAGAGAGCAAUAUAGAACAUGGGGUUAAAUGACAAGAACACAGGCACACAAAGGCAUGCAAGCACCAUGUAUGAGUUUCAUCACCUGUGGAUGCGGUUUGGUCAAUCGAGCCUUUUCUAUGGGACGAUAACUCAAUCUUUCCUUCAGUUUUGGCAUUGUCGGACUCUACUGUUAUAACAGCUCGAGGCUUCUCAAAUGCUGCACAAUUUGCAAAAAUCUUAAUACACUAACCUCCAAUAAUUUAGGAGUUUCAAUGCAGAGACGGUAAAGAUACUCACGAUUUAGGUAAGUCAGAGCCACAGUGUAACAGAAGUUGAAGACAAAUAUGAAUCCAAGCAGUGCCCCAGCUCCUAUCCAGUACCAGUGUGCCUCCGUGAAGAACCCACGAGCCUUCAAUACUGCUACUCCAAGGGAUUCUGUUGAAUUGGUAGAAGCAUUCUGAAAAAUGGAAAUACAUUCAAUCAUCAGUGACUGACACACAUAAAUAAACACAAAUACUCACAUGCAAAAUCCAAGAACUUACUUUGCUCCAACUCUUCCCAAGGAAUUCAUUUACCACUAUUGCGUUCUGUGCAUACAUCAUAGGGGAAGACCAGUAACCCCAAAUCCACCAUUUCUUGACACUUUCUGCAGCAUUGACCAAAUACAAAAAGAAAACAAAAAUCCAUUAUUAGUGUUUAUCAACAAGAAGGUUCUACAUUUCCUGAAAAUUUCUUUCCUCCUUAUACCUCGUGACAGGACAAAACCACCCAAUGCAAAGGGCAGAACUAAUGCAAAUGACCCAAAUGUGUUUGCAACAAUCAUGCUUCUACAAGCUGCUGCUAUAAAUCGAAAUAAUGAAGAUGCCGUCUGAUUAAGAAGCAAGAGGAGAAGAUACUGUCUAAACAAUCUGCAAUAAGAAGAUUUGUUUAUUGAGCAUAGAUCAUUUUGGAACAGAGAAAACAGGUGAAACAAAUCUGGACAAGUUUCUGCAACUUCAUAAGUUUUUAACUUUUACCUUCCCACAUUUGGAUCAAAUCCAAUGACAUAAUAAGUGAUGAAUACCCAAAGACCAACUUCAACAAAUGUGAUGGGGAUCUUGAGGAACCAUGAGGGAAGAGCAUAUGCCCAUGCAGGAUAGAAGAGCAGGCCUCUUUGCUUGUAAAAGACAGGAAGUUUUAGAAUGGUCAUGGCAAGUUCUGACAUUCCAUUAAACAUGACCUUCAUGACAGUGAAGAACAAAGCACCAGUGUAAAUGAUUCCAUCUUCUGUUGUGUUUUUGGGCAUCUCAGUUCUUAGGAAGAUUGUCAUUGCAAUCAUUGCGACUAUUGUGAGCUAAAAGCAGAAAUAAAAAUAAUAAAUUACGAUCAAAUGUACAAAAUUAAAAGCCAUUGUUAUAAGUAACAACAAUAAUAAUACUCACUUGGGUGAGCUUGAAAAUAUAGACAAAUGAAUUCCUCUUCAUCAGCAAGUACUCUCUUGAGAUGCAAGCAUCCAACAGUUCCUUCUUUCCAACACCAUAUUUUUCAGUUUUCAAAGCAGCCGGGUGGCUUUUGGUCUUGUCGAAUGGAGUUGCAAGCUCAUCUCCUAGUUUCCGUCCAAAGUGAAAUGACUGGAAUGCCUCAGCNNNNNNNNNNNNNNNNNNNNNNNNNNNNNNNNNNNNNNNNNNNNNNNNNNNNNNNNNNNNNNNNNNNNNNNNNNNNNNNNNNNNNNNNNNNNNNNNNNNNAUCUUUAUGUGCCCAAUACUGCUNNGAUCUUCCUAGAUGUUACUGCAAUCAAUUUUAAAAUUCGUGUUCUAGCUUGGUUUUUUCUAAAGAAGGGAAAAAAUGAGAAGAUGCCAAAAGGUACAAAGCUAUUAGCACUCACUUCUUGUAGGAAGUCUGCCACACCCUUCCUUUCAGGACAUCUGAACCCCAUGGAUUCAAAAAAGUUAAGAACGUCUUCACGAGGACCCUGAUAAAUGAUCCGGCUAUCAGAGAGAAGAAUGAUGUCAUCAAAAAGAUCGUAAGUCUCAGGUGCUGGCUGGAGGAGAGAGAUGAGAGCAGUCCCAUUGAGAAUGUGGACGGUUUGCCUGAGAGAAUUUACGAUUUGAUAAGUUGUUGAGCUAUCCAAGCCAGUAGAGAUCUCAUCCAUGAACAGUGCCUUUGAUGGUCCAACCAGCAUCUCACCUAUCAUUCAUAUAUUUUCAAAUAAUUGAACUAUAUUAGAUUAAUGAACAAAAAAUAUCUUCUUCUUCUUCUUUUUUCCUUUUUCAUGUUAGAACACAAAUUAUCCUACCAGUUGUGACACGCUUCCUUUGUCCUCCAGAGAUACCCCUCACCAUUUCAUCUCCUACCAUGGUGUCUGCACAGAUUUCUAGUCCCAGAAUCUGUAAAUUUAAGUGUAAAUGAAAAUAAACAAAUUAUGAGUUAGAACUGGGUUUUCUCAGAAAUCUGUAUUCCAUCAUUGAAAGUUUUAUGGUUAUGAUACCUUUAGUGUAUAAUCAGUGAUCACAUUCUCCUUCUGGCCUUCAGCUGCCGCUGCCUGAAAUGUUAGAAACCAAUAAUGAAAAUCUCAACAACCAUUAAAGUUAGUUUGGUACAUCAAGAUAUUCCAUGGAUAAGAUCGACAGAACAUCAAGAAAACAAAGUCAAUUUGCAUAUCUAUGUGAGAGAUCAAAAUUUUCAUUCUAGAGAAGACAAGUGUCCAUGUUCUCCACGAAAAACAAAUAGCUGAUCAAUUUCACAAAGUAGCUUCUGUCUCACCUUCAUGAAGACAUCGAUAUCAGGAUCGGGCUUUAUAUUUGCUGCUUUCUCUCUUCUUGAGAGCUCUACUAACAUGUCUGCAGAUAGCCAAAAUAAGAGUCAAUCUCCUGGCCUAGGCAAAUGUCAUACAACUACAUCCACAACCUUCAAAAACAAAGAAAAUAAAAGUGAAGGCAAUGGUUUAGACUAACCAUAUCGAUCUCCAACACCCUGGCAUCUUGCAGAGAAGGCCAAGGUUUCCCGUACAGUCAUUUCUCCUAUAUGGGUAUCAAGUUGGCUUAUGUAGGCGGCAGUUCUCUGGGGUACAAACUCAUUCAUGCCAUGACCGUUGUAUGUCACCCUUCCCGUAACCUAAACAAGAAAUUUCAGUUUUCAAAUUGGAUAUGAGAUUAAAGUGCUAAAAAUUGCAUCAAAGAAGAAAAGCAAUAAGAGUUUUUUUUUUUUUUUUUUCCAUUCAACCUUUAGACUGGAAUCAAGCUUUCCGGACAAAGCCAAUAAGAGAGUGGUCUUUCCAGAACUUGGAGGACCCAAAAGCAACGUCAUUCUGCAGAAAAAAAAUUAUGCACAAAAAAUUGAGUAUUGAUCUUCAGGGCAUUCUAAAUUUGAGAAAGGAAAAAAUCAUUUGAUUUAUCAAUCAAUUUUUUACUAGAAAUAAAUUCAAAUUCUCACCUUCCGGGUUUGAUGAUUCCGCUAACAUCAUGAAGAAUGGUGAAUUUCUUCUUUCUACUUGGAAGAAUUCGAAGAGUGUUCAAGAUAUCCUUUAAAACAGAAAGAAAAAUUAUAAUCUAAAAACAAACUUUCCCAAGAGAGUACUUAUUGAUUAGCUAAUGAUCUGCAUUUUCAUUUUAGUUACCUCAAUUUGAUUAAAAACAGAAUUAAUGAAUGAAGGCAAAGCUCUGCUUCCUACAUGAGCUUCUGCAUCAAUGGUAAGAUGCUCAAAUCUAACUUCAAUUUCGGGAAGAUCAAUCCCAACUCUGAAAAAUGGAAGAGCCACGAAAACUCGUUAUUAAAAAGUCAAAGGAAGAUGUUGUUUGGUUGCAAAGAAAAUAUAGGAAACACUAUCAGGCAUACUUAAGAUGAAUUCUUUCUUUUCCACUGUUUUCAAUGUUCAAAAAGAGGCAAGGAGCGCAAGAAAAGAAGAGAAAUCGCACCUAUCCAUACGAUUCUUGAGCUUCAACAAGAACUUCUCAUUGUCCUCUUCAGCGAUUUUCACCAACCGCUCGACUAAAUUCUUCCUUUCCUGAGGCCCAAGGUUGUGUAUAUCAACUUCACUGGCCUCACCCUCUGAUCCGAUCAGCAAACCUUUCCUCAGCCGAUUGUAGGUGGGAAGUUUCUCGAGGGCAGCCCAUUUCAAAGCUUCCUCAUCAUCCUCAUCCCUUGAAGAACGGGAGAAAACCUCCGCACCAGAGUUCCUCCAUAUGGAAGAACUGUUCUUCUUGAAACUACCACUGGCUCUACGACCACUGGCUGUAUAAAUUUCAGCUGUUUCCAUUGCAACACGAAACGAGGAACCCCCCUGCAAAACUAACCAGAACCCACCAAAACCCAGAAAUUUUUCCAAAAAAUCAGGAGAAGCCCAAGUUUUGAUCUCUGGAGCUGAAAAAAACUCAGAGAUGGGUGUCCUCCCCUCUUUUCUCUAUGCACUUUGUAGUGCUAAAACCUUGUUCUAUGUUAGAAAACCAUGAGGAAUGGAAGGUUUAUAUACUGGUUCGAAGGACAGAAUCAGAGGCGGCCUAAAAGUUUCAAAUUCUUAUUUUAACAUUUUCACAAUUCUCCACUAUCUUGUUUGUCAAGUAAAUGGAAAAGUGAAUUAUUAAAUGUUGUCCUAACCGCAAACUAACUAACUUUCCCGGGCCAAACUAACUAAAUUCCAAAUGUAAAACAUUUAUGGCAUCUUGUUUAUACUCUUGUUUAAUGAUAUGAUACUUUCGGUUUAGUUUGCCUGAAUUAAAAAUGUAAGUUAAUUUUUAACAUUUCAUUUAUAACCUAAUUUAAUGUUGAUAUAUUGAAUUUGGAUUACUUCUUUUAAUCUCAGAAUUUAUUAAGAUUAGAUCGGAGUUGAGUUAAUAGGCCUCGAGUUAAUUUAAAUUAUAUUCAAGGAAAGAGUUAAGUAAACUUUAAUAAGUGAAUGAUGAAAUUUUUUAUUUCUAAAUUAUAUGUAAUAUAAUCAAAUAUAUGUCUCGUUAUUACGAGUUUACAAGUAACCCAAUAGGCAUAAGAAUUAUUGAAGGUUGGCCCAACAGCCCCUUUUGACCCUUCAAAUGACUGCCCUUGUCAUUUUCAGCUUUACUCACCCUUGUCAACCAGCAAGCAACUCACUAGGAAUAGGAAUUAUCAAAUUAAGUAACUUUGCCACAAGCAGCCCCAACCCCACCCCCAAACCCCCAAACCCCCACCCCCCACCCCCCACCCACCACCCAACAUAUUUUUUUGGCAAUUUUUGUUAAAUCUAAUUUAAUAUUUUGAUAUUUGGAUUACCUAAAUUAGAAAUGUAAGUUAAUUUUUAGAAAUUUGUUUGUAGUCUAAUUUAAUGUUGAUUAAACUCGAGUAAGUUUAAAUUAGGAUUAAAUCUAUUUAAGGAUGGUGUUAAACAAAUGAGGAAACCUAAACCUUAAUUAAGUGGGUUAUUAGAAAAAAUAUUAUGGUAUUAAUUAUUUCAUGAAUUUGUAUAUCUUAAAAUUAGUUAAUAAUACCCCUCAUUAUUAUUCAAUAAAAGUGGCCAAUUCUAUGGUAAAGAAUAAAAAUAUUAAAAACAUUAGUAAAAGAUGUUUUAGACUUUACUAAAAAAAUAAGUUAAAAGACUUUUUCAAAAGAAUUUUAAAAAGUAUUUAAACUCCCCGCUAAGAUAUUUUAAUAAAUCAUUUUUUUUUUUACCAAGUCAAUGGAAAUUUGAAUUAUUAAAUGUUAUCUAACUACUAGAUAAAUUAAUAAGUUGUUUGACAAUUAUUUUUUGAGAACUAUUUUUUUAUUUUAUCUUUAAGUUGUUUUCACUUAUUUUUUAAAAUUUGUUUUAAAAAAUAACUAUACAGAAAAAUGAUUAAAAAUAAAGUACUAAAUAUAAAAAAAAUCAUUUUUAAAAAAUAUUAAAAACCAUUUAAAAUAUUUUAAAUUCUCAAAUAAACUUUUGUUUUAUAAAACAUUAAAAAAUAAUUUUUAAAAACUGUUCUUAAAAACUAUUUUUCAAAAUUAUUUUUUAAAACAAUUACAAAAUGGAUCCUAACUUUAUUUGCCUGAGUGCAAAUCUACCUAAAUUGUAAAUGUAAAAUACUUUUUUGGCAAUUUAUUUAUAAUUUAAUUUUAAGAUUCCAUACUUUGGGUUUUGAAUUACCACUUUUAAUCUCCCAACUUUUUAGAGUAGGAUUGGAUUAGCUGAAUUUGACUCUGCUUAGAGUUAGGUCCCGGGUGGUUUUCGACUGGCUCAUACUCUCCUAAAUUAUAAAUGUAAGUACAUUUUUUGGUACAUUUCCUUUUCUUUUUUUUUUUUUUAAAAACAAAAUAUCUUAUAUGAAAAAAAAAAAAAGGAAUUCUUGUAUAAAAGCUAGUUAUAUACCUUGUAUAAAAAUUUAAGUAAUUUUACUUCCACAAAUUUUCUAGGUUUUGAAAAGAAUUUUUAGAAAUACAAGGUAAAUUUUACCUUUUUAUAUAAAAGUUCUUAUAUUUUAUAUAGAAAUUCUUAUUUUUAAAAAUAAAAAAUGUACCUAAUCACCACCUAAAUUAUUUUUCACCAUUUUUUUAUACUAUAAUCUAAUGUUUAUGAUCGAAAUCUAGUGUUUGUAGUUAAGUUUGUAUUGAAGUUUAGUCAACAUAUUCAUGGAUGAAGCUAAACUAAUGACAGAAACUUUAUUUAAGUGAGCAAUUAGAACAAUUAUGAGGGUAAUAAAUAAUUGAUAAAUUUUCAAAAUUUAAAAUUUGUUAACAAUUCCCCUCAUUAUUAUAAAAAAUAUAUAUACAAUUAUAGAGGUUAAUUAUAAAAAAGAAAGAAAAUAUAUGAUAUAUCAAACUGAAUAAAAAUAAUAUCAAACAUAUUGGUAAAAAUAUUUUUGUUUUUCAAAAAAAAAACAUCCAAAAAAUUAAAAGGUUUUUUUUCAAAAGAAUUAAAAAAUAGUUAAAAUUUUCAAUAAGAAAUUUCUAAUAAUUUUGUUUUAACAAAAAUAGAAAAUCAACAAUUCCACUUAUAAAUUUCUUCUAUUUUUCAAAUAGCUAAAGAUAAAUUGAGUGAGGAAACUAUUUUUUUUAUGAAGUAUAUAUAAUAUAGUAAAAAUAUCAUAUUAAGUUAUAUAAUUUUUAUAAUUAAAGUUAAAUUCAAAUUCUCAUAAUAUAGUCAUUAUAUGAGAUUUGAUAUGAUGAUAUUUAUAAAAUCGAUGAGAUUGAUAUUCAAAUAUUUCUUUUUAAAACAUACUGAUUUAACUCUACAAGUGGUACCACCACCCAUAUAAAUUAAUAUUAAUUACAAACUUCCAUAAUACAAAUCAUUGCAUAGGAUUAGAUUUAUUAAAAAUUAAAUAACAUAUAAAUUUAUAUAGCUUUGUAGUAAAUUCUAAAUUAGUGAUUAUUUCAUUAAAUCUAAAAAAUAAAAGUAAAAUGACCAAAUCAAUCUGCAAAAAAUUCACCACUCAAAAUAAUUUAAUAAAAUGUCAAAUACUAAUAGAAUUUUUUGAGGGAUGAGGUUUAGAAAAAUCAAAUUUAGCUUUUUCUAUUUGAAAAAACCUCAUUUUCAAGGGAAGACAUUAUUAAAUCCUCCUUGAUGAUGGUAAAGUUAGGGAAAGAAAAAGAAACAACAAAUCUUAAUAUGAUGUUUCAGGGAACCCUAUCUUCAAUGAAUCAAACUAGUUUUAUGGGGCCUAAUUGACUGGAAGUUCUUAUUUUCAUUUGUCCAAAUAAAGAAAUAUUCAGAAACUGAAAAUCUUCUUUCCUAUCACAGUUCUGAACAAUCAAAGCAACUAUUAAUAAAAAAAAAACACUCAGAAUAUGACAGAUUUUGAACUAAAUAUCAUCUCGAUUCACCUACUCAAGAAAUUUGAUGAGUUUUUGAGCUUGGAAGAGUCAGGUCAAAUCCACAUGUCUGCAAAUUUGGAAGGCAGUGAUUCUACAAUUCAAAGCAUAACUGCUUCAUUUGGAUAUGAUCAUCAGGAUACCACUGUAUGAGCACCAAACUAUUUACAUUGAAUGAGUUGAAUACUAGGAAAACUGAACUACUUCUCUUCAUGGGUCAAGCAUAUCAGUAGAAAUGGGAUCUGAAAGCGCAGGCAUGGAACUACCUCUGAACUUUCUGAAGAAGGCCAAAACUUUUCUUUUUGUUAGCUCAAGUCUAAAUUUAAGAGCAUUUUAAACCCUGCCCCGUCAUACACACUUGUUGGUUUUGAAACCAUACCAUUUUCAUGCUGAUACCUGUCUUUAUGGUUUCAGCUGCUUAAAGCAGAGACUGAAAGUGGAGCACCAUACCGGUAAGUCGGUCAUCAAGAUCAAAGGAUUGCUGGUCACACUAGACAGGCGAAGCAGGUUGAGAAAUGCAUAGUUGUCGAAGGACAAAUUGCAUCCAGGUAAUUUCAGCGACAGUAAUAGGAAGACCAUGAUAUUCGGACUCAGCACUACUUCGUGAGAUAACUCUUUGUUUGGUAGACGACCAUGACACCAGAUUGGAGCCAAGGAAGAUGUAAUAGCUGCUAGCGCUUCCACGAUCGUUUGGGAAUUAUGCCCAAUCCGCAUCUGUGUGGGAUUGGAUGUCCAGAGAGGACGAGGGAUGCAGUAUCAGUCCGUGGGGGGUGGUGCCUUUAAGGUACCUGAGGAUCCUUUUUACACCAAGCCAGUGCAUGGUGGUGGGACGAGCCAUGAACUGACAUGCUUUAUUGGCUGCAAAUAAGAGAUGAGGCCUGGUGUUGGAAAUGUAUUGGAGGGCUCCCACUAUGCUGCGGUACAAUAAGACAUUCGAAAUGGUUCUCCAUCAGACUCAGAUAGGGUUGUGCCAGUGGCUCCAGGUGUGGUAGUAGGCUUGGAAUCCAACAUAGUCGUUCAAGUGAGAAGAUCACAGAUGUACUUAUGCUGAUUGAGAUGUUGUAAUGCAUUGGCAUGAGUGACCUCUACACCCAGAAAGUAGUUAAUAUGACCAAGGUCUCUAAGGGCAAAUGUUGUUUUGAGAUAUUGCAAAAAUGAGAACACCUGAGGAGGAUUGCUGCCUGUAAUUAAUAUACCGUCAACAUAGAUUAAAAGGAGUAUGGUAGCAAUUGAUGUAUGAAGGAAGAACAGAGAAUUAUCAGCCUAUGAACAAGUGAAGCCCCAGCUGAGAAGUGCUGUUCGAAGUCUGAGAAACAAGGCAUGAGGGGCCUGCUUGAGGCCAUAUAAAGCUUUGUUCAAGCGACAAACAUGAGAUGGAUAUUGCGGAUCUACAAAAUCUGGAGGCUGCUGCAUGAACACUUGCUCACGGAGGUCGCCAUUGAGGAAGGCAUUUUAAUUUGGACAUCCAGUUGUCUAAUUGGCCAACCAGAGGAGAGAGCUAUGGUGAGGACUAUGCGAAUGGUGGAUGCCUUGACUAUUGGACUGAAUGUUUCGAAGUAAUCUAGCCCAUGUGUUUUGCAACACGGCGAGCUUUGUAGCGAUCAAUGGUCCCAUCUGGUUUAUAUUUGGGUUUAUAGACCCAUUUGCAACCAAUGAUAUGUCCAUGUUGAGGAGCUGGAGCAAGAGUCCAGGUGUUGUUGCGGAUGAGGGCAUUGUAUUCAGAUGUCAUAGCUUCUUUCCGGUUGGAAUUUUUGAGUGCUUGGUGAUACGUUCGAGGUUCAAUGAUUUUCGGUGCAAAGAACAAUAUGGGUUUGAGGUUACCAAUUUUUUAUCGAGUGAGCAUGAGGUGGGUGUUAGCUGGUUUGGUGAAGAGAGUCUUGGACUGUAAUGCUAAAAGUGAAGAGUUAGUAAAUGGUGCCUGAAUAAUGGAGGGAAUAAAGUGGUUAAAGAAGGAAGGACUGGUUAUAGCUAGUUGGGGAAUGGGUCGUUCACGGGACUGGGUGGUGGUGGAUGAGAAAAGGGUUGGGAAAUGAUGAAGAGGGCUGGAAUAAGGAAUAGCUGAGUGAGGGCUUGAGGACAGGAUGGGAGAGGGCUCGAAGAGUGGUUAUAUUUGAAAUGAGAAGAUGGUUUCAUUGAAAACUACAUGACGGGUGAUGUAGAGGCGACUGGAUAAGAGGUCCAUGCAUAUGUAGCCUUUCUAAAAUGAGCUAUAACCCAGAAAUACACAUUGGACUAAUCGAUAUUGGAGCUUAUGGUUAUUGUAUGGUCGAAUGUAUAGGUAGCAAAGACACCCCAAAUACUUUAGACAUUGUAUAAUCUGGAGGAUGGCCAAAUAGAACUUGGAAAGGGGAGUUAAGAUUUAGGAUUUUGGUAGGUAGUCUGUUAAUAAUAAAUGUUGCAGUUUGGAAGGCAUACAACCAGAACUUCAAGGGUAAAGAGGCUGUGGCUAAGAGGGUUAGCCCGUUUCAACAAUGUGGUGUAUUUUACAUGCAGACCUGCCAUUUUACUCCGGAGUGUGGGGACAUAAACAUCGGUUUAUAAUUCCUUGUUGAGUAAGGAAGGGAGCGAAGGCCCUAAACUCUCCUCCAUUGUCCUAUUGGAGGCAUUUGAUUGUGGAACCAAACUGUUUCUCUACUAGAAUUUUAAACUUCAUGAAUGUAGGUAAGCUUGAUCCUUAGUGUGUAAGGGAUACGGCCUGGAAAAUCUUGAACAAUCAUCAACAAAUAACAAGAAAUAUCGAGCACCAAUAGAGGCUGGAAUGGGUGACGGUCCCCAAAGAUUAGUGUGUAUAAGAUCAAGGAUAUUAGAAGCUUUAAUUGGACUCAGAAAGUGAAAAUGGUAAUUUGUGGCUUUUUCCAUAUUGACAAGCAGUACAUAUAGUAGAAUUAUUGGUUUCAAGAGUUUGAGAAUGUUUGCAACAGGAUGUCCCAGCCUAGCAUGCCAGAGAGUAAACUGCUCAGUUCUUGUGGUAGACGCAGGAGUGUGAGACGCAGUUGUGAGGAAGGUUGAGGAUGACCUUGGUGUUAUGAAGUUCAUACGGAACUUAUAGAUACCAUUUUCAAGAUUGUCGUGGAGUAGAGUUUUCUUCAUGAGGUGGUUCUUCACAAGAAAGGGACGAGGAUAAAAGUCAAAGAAAGAAUUAUUGUCAUGGCAGAAUUUUGAGACGCUCAUAAGAUUUUGGCAAGUUUGGGAACAUGAAAUACUUUGUUUAACUGAAAAGUCUUAAAUGAAGUAGGUAGGAAUUUAGAACCAAUAAGAAGAUAGGAAGCCUCUUACCAUUGCCAAUGAUGACUAUAACUAGAAAUGGGAUCUGUAAGUGCAGGCAUAGAACCUCUGAACAUUCUGAAGAAGGCCAAAACUUUUCUUUUUGUUAGCUCAAGUCUAAAUUUAAUGACAUUUCUCUCAUACACACUUGCUGGUUUUGAAACCAUACUAUUUUCAUGCUGAUACCUGUCUUUAUGAUUUCAGCUGCUUAAAGCAGAGACUGAAAGUGGAGCACCAUACCGGUAAGUUGGUCAUCAAGAUGAAAGGAUCGCAUAAGGUUAUAUUAUUCUCUUGAAUUUAAAAUUUCAAAUCACAUACAAAUGGGAGAAAACAAAAUACAAGAAUUUGACAACAUAAAUAUUACCUCCUCAUAGCAGGGCUAUCGAUACUCUCUAACAGCCUAUACAUAGAACAAAACCAUUUUUUCAUCUUUGAAGAACUUGAGCUUUUAUCGCCUUUGGAAGUUAAAUGCCUUAAUGGAAAAGGCGAAGAUAAAUAAGAAAAGCACCGCAAACCCAACAAUCACAGCUGCAACCACUCCCAGGAAAUCAUGUUCGAACCCAAAAUAGUCAUCCAAGUAUUGUUUCACUGUUACAUUUGUGCCAAGUAGUCUGUCUUCGAUAUCUCCAAACUGUGCUGUAAUCAAUCCAUACAAAGUCCAUGCAACUGGACAUGCCCAAUAAUACCAUCUCCACCACACAGGAAUCCUCUGCAUUCAUCAUGGAAGAAAUGCAACAAAAUGAGACAGUUUCAUAUCCAUGUGCUAAACAAAGUUCCAAUUUAAAGAAUUAUGGGUUUAGAGCACUAACAGUUCCUGGGACGAUAAAACCGGAGAAGAGGUUCCAUAAUGCAUAAAAUGCUACAGCAAUGAUGGCAGCAAUAUGCUGAUUUGGUGUGGCAGCCACAGCCAUCAUGCCAAACAAGGUGAAGUAUAAUAGGCUGAAGAACGUAAAAAAAAAAUAUACCAGAAGAACUUAGCAGUUGUCCAUUCAAAUCCAAUCAUUGCAUAAACUAUAGCACCAUAAACCACAGCUUGCGAAAAGACAUAUGGUAUCUCAACUAAAGCCUGAAACAAGAGAUGAAUUUUGAUUAAUAAAACGCAUAAAGCAUUAGAUAUAUACAAAGUCUAUAGCAUAAGAAAACUUGUUACCUGCGCAAAGGCAUAUGGCAUGGCUGAAUACAUUCCUGCAGCUCUUUCUCUGUAAAAGACUGUCCGUUCAACUACCACGACUGGCUGCACCGAUUGGCCUAUCUGUAACCCAAGGAAGAUAACAGCAGCAUACAUAGAGCCCAUUGCAUUAGAUAGAUCUUGUUGCCUUGUCCUGCAUUUUCCCAUGUGAAGUAAAAAUUGAAGUUGAUAUGGAGAAGCAUACUGAGUUGUCAAAAUUCUUAACUUAAAUCAAAUUACCUUUGGGUGCCGAGAUCCCAGAACAUUGUCCCAAACAUCAAGGCUAUGAAAGUUGUGAAGAAAAAUCUCACUGCCGUGUAUGGUGGAUUGCGCCAGUAUGACCAACGUUGUUUCCAUAAGCAUGCCAUACAUUGGGUGAAGGACUGGGAGUAUUGAGUAGGGAAAUAGAGGUCCUUAGAACCAGGGGUAGGUUGGCUCAAUUCUUUAAUUAAAUCUUUGUUUCUCCUGAAACAUAUGCCACAUCUUAGAAAAAGCCUCAACAACAAAUUCAAGCUUGCAUGAUGAACAUUGAGAUGGCUGUAUAUGACAUUUCAAUAUCAUAAAGCAUUCAGAUAUCCUAUAUUUGAAUCACCUGUAUAUGUCUGAGUUUUUGUAUAUUUCAGUGAAAUCCACUCCCAAAAUUAAUUCUUGUGUAGAAGUGGUAACUUCCAACAUCCAGGUUGCAGGGUUAUAACCAUCUUUGAUUUUACUUACUCCUUCAAUUCCCUAAAUGAAACCAAAUUAAUCCUUCAUAAUGUACCAAAUUUUAUAAAGGAAGUACUAAAUUUUGUCAAGGACGUACCAAAUUUUUUAAAGGAUGUACCAAUGUUGCCAAAGUCCGUUAUGAGGUGGGGAACGACCUUCAAUAACUUCCUGAAGGUCUCCAAAUGAAGAAAUGGACUAUGGAAAUGGAGAUAAGUGUUCCAUUAGCUCAAGGAUUGGAUGUAUUAAAUUUUCUCAAUGAUGUACCUAGGGUUCCAAAGUCCAUUUCGGAGUAGGGAACGAUUUCCAAUCACUUCCCAAAGAUCCCUAAAGGAAUAAACAGACCAUGAGUAAUAAGAUAGAGAUUUCAAUAGCUCAAGUAUGUACCAAAUAUUUUUAAGAAUAUACAAAAUUUUAUAAAGGAUGUACCAAGAGUGCCAAAAUUUGUUUCGAUGUGGGGAAUGACCUUCAAUCACUACCUAAGGGUCCUCAAAGGAUAAUAUGGACCAUGGGAAGAUAGAUAAGGGCUUGAUAGCCUGAGGAUUGGAUGUACCAAAAUUUCUUAACGAUGUACCAAAUUUCCUUAAGGAUGUACCUAGGGUUCCAAAGUUCGUUUCUAAGCAGGGAACGACCUCUAAUUACUUCCUAAAGAUCCCUAAAGAAAUAAACAAACCAUGGGUAAUAAUAUAGAGGUCCUGGUAGCUCAUGGAUUGGAUGUACAAAAUUGUUUUAAGGAUGUGCCAAAUUUUAUAAAAUAUGUACCAAAUUUUAUAAAUGAUGUACCAAAUUGUCUUUAGGAUGUACCUUGGGUUCCAAUAUCAGUUUUAGAGUGGGGAAUAACCUCUAAUUCCUUCUCAAGGGUCCCCAAAUGAAUAUAUGAACCAUGAAAAUGAAAAUAGCGGUUUUAGUUCCUCUAAGAAUUGAUAUACCUAGGAUCCCAAAGUUCUUUUUGGGGUGGGCAAAAACCUCCAAUUACUUAUCAAGGGUCUUAAAAGAAUAUAUACACCUUGAUAAGUAUGAUAGUGUUUUCGGUUUUCCUAAGCAUUAAUUUACCUAUAUUUUUUAAGGAUGUACCUAUUUUUAUUAAAUUAAUAUAAAAGGCUAAAUUCAAUUUUUUAUGAAAAAUAUAUUUUCUUUUAUAUUUUAUUUUAAUUAAAAAUUAAAGAUUUUAACCAAAAAAAAAAAAUUAGAUCCAUAAUCAAUUUAAAAUCAUAAGAAAAAUGAUAUAAGCACCGUCACUUAUUGUGAUUUUGAUAUGAUAAAUUUAAAAUGAAAAUUAAAAGAAAAAUAAUGUAAAUAAUAAAAUAGUAUUACAAUGAUAUUUUUACUUUUACAUGUGAUAGAAUUUACAAAAUAAAUAAAUCUUUUGUUUAGUUUUAAUAUAAAAAAUCUUAUAUCUAAAUAAUAAAAUGGAAUUUUUAAAUUUAAACCUUAAUUUAUAAAAUGUAUUAUUAUAAUUAAUAUUUAAAAUCAUUGUUAUUUGUGGGAUAAUAUUUUCAUUUUUGUACAUUAUAUAUUUUGUUUUUAUUUAAUUUUUUAUAUUAAUUAUUUAUUAUACAUUAUCAUUUUAAGUUUAAUAUGUCAAAAAAAUAAUUAAAAUCAAUAAAUAUAGACAAAUUAGAGAGUAAAAAUAAAUUUAAAUUAAAUUAAAAAAUGCACGAGCAUAUUAAAAAGAAUAUAAAGGAAAAAAAGAAAAAUAAUAAUAAAAACUAUAAUAGGUGAUAAUGGAUUAUGGUGGCAGGAGAGGAAAAAAAAAAGUGGAAAUGUGACGAGUGGUAAGGGAGAUAUAUUGAUGUGAGAAAAAUAAUAAAAAUAAAUUACACAUGUACUUGUUAACAAGUUGUAUUAAAUUGAUGUAUACUUUGUCCUUUACUUUUAAGGGUAAUUAUGGAACAAAUUUGAAAGCACUAUUGGAGUGCAUGAAUAAACAAUAUUUUUUCUCAUUUUACACCAAAAUUAAAAAGAAAAAAAGUAAAGCUCCAAAAUCUCAUAUUUUUUGUAAUUGGUAUAUGGUUAGAUGAUUUUCCCUUUUUUUUAAGCUUGGGAUCAAAUGUGGAACCGAAGGUUGGACCCAUACACAUUAAGCAACCAUCUUUGAAAAACUUGUCCUCUGCACAUCUUAUCAUGUUUGGAAGUUAAAUGCAUUAACGGAAAAAGCAUAGUUCAAAGUCGCAAUAUCGGUUAUUGACUCGGAAAGUCAUGAGGCAUAUCAGUAUCGAUGUCUCGCUUCGAUAUCAGGUGAUACGUAAAAUAAGAUAAUUAAAAUUUUCAAAAAAUUAUAAAAUUAUUAUAUAAAUUAAAAAAUAAUAUAUAUAUCUAUAUAUAUAUAUAUAUAUAUAUAUAUAUAUAUAUAAUUAAUUAAAUAAACUAAAAAUUUUAAUAAAACAAAUUUUUUUCACAUUUAGCUCAAAGUUAUUUGUGAUAAUAUUAAAAUUUGAGGAUUUAAUUCUCACUUUGCCAUAUAAACACUUUAAUUUAUCAUUAAAUCUCAUAUAUACCUUUCAUAUCAUUUUACUUUAGCAAAUCGGGUACUCAAUUCUCUUAAUAUGUUAUUAUUAAAUCAUAUUAAAGUGUUUAUAUGAAAGGUAUUUUCCAUGUAAAUUGGGACUCAAUUCUCCAUGUAAAUCCGUAUAAAAGAUAGUUUUUUACUUUACUAAUUUGAGCUCCCAAUCUCCCACUCUCGCCACCGUUGCUGUCAAGACCCAUAACAGACCUCCCAAUCUCCCACCCUCACACGCCACCAUGCCGUCAAGACCCACAAUAAACGAUACCACCUGCAAUUGUAAAUUUGCAACCAUGUAAGACCUAACAUGGGAAGGGGAGCAAUCUGAUUGUGAGGGGGUUGUCUUGUCGACGUCGCCGAUGAAAGAUUCAGUCCACUUAACGAGUCACCACCGUCGACACCAAAGCUCCACCCUCUGGUGAUGCUCGAUUUUGAGGAAAAUCAGGUAAGUAAAUCCUAAAUCAUGUCCUCAUCCUUCGGUGGUUUCUCCACUUAUUUCCGAACAAAUCACGGUUUGGGUUUUUUUCUUCGUCUUCUUUGAUCUUCUCAUUAAUGGUUUAAAAUUUCAGAAUAGGUGUUUUCUUUUGAAAGGGCAAUGUUUGAUUAUUAUUUUUUUUAAUUUUAUGAAAAUUUUGAAAAUUCUUUGUAACCUCACCGAGUCAACCAAGUUAACUUGGAAACUCAGACAAGUCAAUCGAGUCUAACCGAUUCCCAGCCGAGUUCAUGCAUUAUACUGUAUCUGGUAUCAGUCUCGUCGCGGCAAGUAUCGAGGCAGAUACGACUUGGCUGAGUCAUACCGGACUCAGCUGAUACUUUGAACCCUGGGCAAAAGUGAAGACAACGAAGAAGAGCAAGGUAAAGCUAGUUAACAACCACAACUGCAAUCACUCCCUGGAAAUCAUGCUUAAAUCCAUAAAAAUAAUCCAAGUAUUGUACCACGGUUACAUUUCUAUCUGUUAGCAUCUCCUCUACAUCACCAAACUGUGAUGUAAUCAUUCCAUACAAGGUCCAUGCAACUGGAAAUAUCCAAUAGUACCAUCUCCACCACACAGGAAUCCUCUGGAAUCUAUCAGGGAAGAAAUGCAACACAAUGAAUCAUUUCUAUAUCCUUAUGAUAAUGUAAUUUGGAUUUGAGAAACAAUUAUAUAUGGGUUGAGAGUGCUUACGGUUCGUGGGACUGUAAAGCCUGAAAAGAGUUUCCACAAUCCAUAAAAUGCAGCACCAGUGACGGUAGCAACGUGUUGAUUCGGUGUAGCAUCCACAGCCAUCAUGCCAUAGAAGGUGAAGUACAACAAGGUGAAGAACAUGAAGAAGAGAUGUCAGAGGAACUUAGUGGCCAUCCAUUCAUAUCCGAUCAUUAAAUAAACUAUAAGACCAUAUACAACAGUUGUACAAAGAUAUAUGGGAUCUCAACAUAAGUCUGCAACAAGAGAUGAAAUUUUAGUAGGAAAUGACAUAAAAGUAAUACAGAUCUGCAAUGUCUAUAGCAUAAGAAGACUAGUUACCUGUGCGAAGGCAUAUGCCAUGGCUGAAUACAUUCCUGCAUCUCUUUCUCUAUAAAAGACUGUUCUUUCAACUACGACUGGCUUCACGGAAUGCGGAAUUUUGAAUCCCAAGGAAGAUAACAGCAGAAAACAUAGCACCUAUUGCAUUAUCCAAAUCUAUUGACCUUUUUCUGCAUUUUACAAUGAAGGUAUAAGUUAAAGUUGAUUUAGAGAAACGUAUGAAUUGGACUGACUUCCACUUACCUUCUAGUGCCGAGAUCCCAGAACAUUGUCCCAAGCAUCAAGGCUAUGCCAACUGUGAAAAGAAAUCUCACUGCAGUGUAUGGUGUGUUGCGCCAGUAUGACAACCGUUGUUUCCAUAAGUUUGCCAUGCGUUGGGUGAAGAAGGGUUGGCAGUAUUGAGUAGGGAAAUAGUGCUCCUUUGAACCGGGGGCAGGUUGGCUCAGUUUUUCAAUUAAAUCUUUGUUUCUCCUGAAACAUAUGCCACAUGUAAGAAAUGGCUUAAACAACAAAUUUAAGCUUUCAUGAGAAACCUAUAGUUGAAUCACCUGAAUAGGUCGGAAUUUUUGUAUAUUUCCUUGAAAUCAACCCCCAAAAAUACUUCUUGUGCUGUAGUGGUAACUUCCAACAUCCAAGUUGCAGGGUUAUAACUUUCUUUGAUUUUUACUGACUCCUUCAAUUCCCUUCACAAAAGGAAGUCAUAUGCAUCAGUAAGCACUUGAUAUGAAUUAACUCAAACUAAAGCAUCACUGCCAAUUAUUUUUGCUAUAUGCCAUGGCAACUUAACUCAAAAUACUUUAUCAAUUGGGAAGAAUGUCUACCCAGUGGUCCCACUUAUAUCUCUUGUCCUCCGUGCUUCAUCAGGAGCAACUGCACACCCAUUUUAAAUAAUUCAGUACUUAUCUGCCAAGGAUUAACAAGAGAAACCAUAAAUUAUUUCUGUCCACGAAAAAUUCCUACCUCAUCGAAGGCUUCAAAUAUGUCAAUACUUAGUUGAUGGAUGGUGCACACAACUGUUUUUCCUGUGUCCACUGUGUUCCUAACUGUUCUCAUAAUAAUUGCAGCAGCUCUUGCGUCUAGCCCUGAAGUUGCCUCAUCCAUGAAUAUUAUUGAAGGAUUUGCCACAACUCAACAGCAAUAGUUAGCCUCUUAUGCUGCUCAGUUGAGAGACCAUUCACACCUGGCAACCCAACCAGUGCUCCCUUCAAUGGGGUCAGUUCCAUGAGCUCCAUGACUUCGUCAAUGAACAUCUGUGACCACUAGCAAGGAUUAGAAAUUGUUUAAAAAACAAUGCAAAAUAAAAAAAAUAAAAAAGAAAAAAGAAAAAAUUCACACUGCUUGUGAUUCUUUUCUAAUAGCAGGUUGUGAACUUUGUCUUGUCUUGUUAAACCAAUCAGUUAAUUGAUGGAAAUGGCUCUUUUAUGCUUAAUAACACUUGCUUGCAUGAACUUCACCCAAUUGGAUUCUAGGACAAUGAAAUUUCGACCAACAUUUUUCCUUAGGUGAAGGUCAAGCCAAACUUGAACCUGAUCUUAGCCCAACCAAGUCAAGUUUGAAAAAUCAAUUCUAAAUAGGCUUAGCUUGUUGAGAGCGAUAAAUUGAAUAAGAAAAAUGUGGAAACAAGGAAACUCACCUUUCUGGCAGCAGAAUCCACAUCAGAAGGUAACCGCAGCCAAGCUGAGUAGACCAAGGACUCAUAGACAGUAACAUGAGGAGAGUGGAUAUCAUUCUGCGCACAGUAUCUAGAAAUUCGAGCAAAAGUUUCUUUCUUCUUUAGGUAGCCAGAAAUGGUGAUGUUACCCUCAAUAUAUCCACCAGUUUUCCGACCAGCCAGUACAUCCAUGAGAGUGAUUUUACCAGCACCGCUAACACCCAUCAGAGCUGUAAGAAC